CUGGGUCGCCUUGGAGCAGCCCACCUGCAGCGGGCUGGGUGGGUCCCUGGGUCUCUGAGCCCCUGCCAGGUCAGGAGAGAGGAUUGUGGCUGCCCCAGGGGACGGGUGCUGCUCCCUGUGGGCAGACCAGGUGGGCUUCCUGGCAGAGGUGGCAUCAGUGGUAGGAGACCGGUGGGGCUGAAGGUAAGGCAGGAAUACGGGUUUCCUGGUCAGUGAGUGUGUGUCUGUGCCAAUGGAAGAUGGGCCAGUGAGCGUCCUUGUGGUCAGAGUUCCACACCCACAGAAAGCCGAUCCGUCCACCCUGUAGUGGAACACCCUGUAGUGGAACCCUCAGCCCCUGAGGCCAGGGAUUCAAAGCACCUUCGUGGAAGGAGCCCCAGGAGGAAGGACCCGGCCCCGUUCCCGGGGCUGGCGUUGAGAAACACGGUGAAUAAUGGAUGUUGCACGAACAGAGGGAUUAGCACAGGCACGGGAAGGGGAGGCCCAUUCCUUGUUAAUAUUUAUUAAACCCACAGCCCCGUCACUCCAGAGCCUCAUCCAUAUUAAUUCCCAAUUAAACAUUUAUAUGAAGGAGAUUGCUUCUCCUCCCCCUCAAAGAACCUGUUUGAAGCUGGGACUGCGAGUGGCAGUCAGGGAAGUGGGGUCUUCAGGGGGGCCUGGGAGUGGGGGCUGGAAGAAUCCCUGGGCUUGCCCCUGAGGUCCCCCCACUGCAUCCCAUGGUCCCAGCUAUAGCCUGGCCUGCAGCUGCUGCCCAUGCCCAAGUCCCACAGAAGGCCCUCCACUGACCAGUUCCAGCACCUCCAAAGUCCCUGAGGCCAAGGCCCUGUCUCCAGCUGCAAAGUCAACGCCUGAACUCUGUGGGCCAUGCACACCUCGGCUGUGUGGGCCCUCCAGGCCCUUGGAGACACGAGGAUCUGCACCCAUGCAGGUGACAUGGCUGCCUUCUAGCCACCAAGGGUGGGGUCACCACUGCGCCGACACAGACGGCCCAUCCCCACCCCAGCUACUGUGCUCUGCAGAAAUCACCCGCAGGUCACACAGACAGAACUGCCCCUACUGCAGAUGCCGGUUGCAAGCCUGUGCCCAGAAAAGGCCACGUGAGGACACAGCCAGGGACAGUGUCUGCAGCCCGGGAAGCUGCCCUCUCCAGGAGCCGAGCCGCCGGAGCCUUGAUCCUGGACUUCUGGCCUCCGGAACUAUAAGGAAUAGUCUGUUGCUGCAGCUGUCUGUCUGCGGGUUCUGUGGGGGCAGCCCACGCUGUC
Cercocebus atys (sooty mangabey) is the source of this 1262-nucleotide long non-coding RNA. RefSeq lists it as uncharacterized. The record is from RefSeq and is a predicted model, not a curated record. Lineage: Eukaryota; Metazoa; Chordata; Mammalia; Primates; Cercopithecidae. The transcript has 3 exons.